AUGCAAGUCGAGCGGAUGACGGGAGCUUGCUCCUUGAUUCAGCGGCGGACGGGUGAGUAAUGCCUAGGAAUCUGCCUUGUAGUGGGGGACAACGUUUCGAAAGGAACGCUAAUACCGCAUACGUCCUACGAGAGAAAGCAGGGGACCUUCAGGCCUUGCGCUAUCAGAUGAGCCUAGGUCGGAUUAGCUUGUUGGUGAGGUAAUGGCUCACCAAGGCGACGAUCCGUAACUGGUCUGAGAGGAUGAUCAGUCACACUGGAACUGAGACACGGUCCAGACUCCUACGGGAGGCAGCAGUGGGGAAUAUUGGACAAUGGGCGAAAGCCUGAUCCAGCCAUGCCGCGUGUGUGAAGAAGGUCUUCGGAUUGUAAAGCACUUUAAGUUGGGAGGAAGGGCAGUAAGCUAAUACCUUGCUGUUUUGACGUUACCGACAGAAUAAGCACCGGCUAACUCUGUGCCAGCAGCCGCGGUAAUACAGAGGGUGCAAGCGUUAAUCGGAAUUACUGGGCGUAAAGCGCGCGUAGGUGGUUUGUUAAGUUGGAUGUGAAAGCCCCGGGCUCAACCUGGGAACUGCAUCCAAAACUGGCAAGCUAGAGUA
This 598-nucleotide ribosomal RNA is filed under the name uncultured Gammaproteobacteria bacterium. RNAcentral's name for it is "bacterial SSU rRNA". It matches the Rfam family "Bacterial small subunit ribosomal RNA", at positions 55 to 648 of the family's 1533-position model. The record is from RNAcentral. Lineage: Bacteria; Pseudomonadati; Pseudomonadota; Gammaproteobacteria.